UUCGUUCUAUUUAUUUUCUGAAUUCCUUUAAAUUAAAAUCGCCAACAUUUAAAUCAGAUUUUUCUGAAAAACUGAAAUAUUCAAUAUUAAGCAUUGCAAAAAACUAUGGAAUGUCUUAAAUAAAUAAAAAAAACUUCAGAAUUCCGUCAUAGUUUUACUUCCUCUUAUAGGCUUUUAUUUUGGAAACAGCAGGAAGUAGCAACUAACUGGUAGUAGCUUGGUUUCUCACGUGUUUGAUGCUCACUCCAUGAUAAAAACAACACGCAGGACUUUAAGAAAACUGUGACGGUCCAAAAAAUGCUCAGUUAAGAUGACACCACGUAUCAGUCCAAUGAAAGAUGCAAUGCAUCAUGUUGUUUCGAGAACAGACAAAAUAUCAAAACUUGAGGUGAAGUACAUUAAUCCAGUGAAAGGACGUGGGGUCUUUGCAAAAAGUUCAAUUUACAAAGGAGAGUUUGUAGUUGAGUAUUAUGGAGAAAGGAUUACUGAAGAAGAAUCUGAGAGAAGAAGGAGACUGUACCACCCUGCUUGUGCUGCUUUUAUGUUUGCAUUUAAGUGGCACGG
This is a long non-coding RNA of Cyprinodon tularosa, 564 nucleotides long. RefSeq lists it as uncharacterized. NCBI's taxonomy places the organism in Eukaryota, Metazoa, Chordata, Actinopteri, Cyprinodontiformes, Cyprinodontidae. The transcript has 3 exons. The record is from RefSeq and is a predicted model, not a curated record.